RNAcentral lists this long non-coding RNA (214 nucleotides) under Homo sapiens (human). RNAcentral describes it as "HSALNT0112437". The record is from RNAcentral. Lineage: Eukaryota; Metazoa; Chordata; Mammalia; Primates; Hominidae.
UUCACAGACCUGGACCACUGACUGCCUGAGGGGAGAGCAGAGACUGUGUAAAAGUGAUUUCUAGCAUAGCUAGAGCAAGUUCAUACCCCCAUUCUUUUCAUUAACUUUUUUAGGACUGCAAUUCUCAGUCCUUUCAUGUGGAUGAAGACUCAAGUCAAAUGGUAAAAGUUACAGGAGUUGAAUAGUGUAGUUAGGGGUGGUAAUUUUACUGUUC